RNAcentral lists this ribosomal RNA (79 nucleotides) under Erysipelotrichaceae bacterium. RNAcentral describes it as "partial 16S ribosomal RNA". It matches the Rfam family "Bacterial small subunit ribosomal RNA", at positions 1 to 77 of the family's 1533-position model. The record is from RNAcentral. Lineage: Bacteria; Bacillati; Bacillota; Erysipelotrichia; Erysipelotrichales; Erysipelotrichaceae.
AAUUUAUUGAGAGUUUGAUCCUGGCUCAGGAUUAACGCUGGCGGCAUGCCUAAUACAUGCAAGUCGAACGAGGUAGCAA